ACCUCGAGAAAGACAUUGUUCGAACUAGAAGAGGUUCCUCUGCUUCAAUGAGUGCUGACAGGCAAAACCACCUUGUUAUUGAGGCAAGUUCUGAUGAUAGGUCGAUUUUAUAUAUGCAGGAUCAGUAUUGUUCUAAUGAUAUUUGGAGUGGAGAGGGCAAUGAUCCUAUAACACCUCAACAACAUACUUUGAUGGAGUUGCAUGAGCUUAUCCACCUGUUUGUUAUCGAUGCAGGUUUUUAUAAGAUCAGUCAGCUACAUGACAUAUAUCUUGACCACGCAUUGAUUGCAAUAUUAGUUGAGCGAUAAAGGUGUGAGACACACACCUUCCAUCUAUGUGUUGGUGAGAUGACACUCACACUCCAGGAUGUUGCCAUGAUGACCAGUCUUCUAAUAGAUGAACCUCCUACGACAGGCCGUUGAGGGUCUAUUGAUAGAGAUAUUUUAUGUGAUCAUUUAUUAGGAUUGGUGCCUCUAACCGAUGCUUAUAGAAGAGACUGCAUCAAGUUGACAUGGUUGAACAUAAAUUUUAAGACCUCCUCAGCAGAUGUGACAAAGAACUAAUUGAUUAUGCAUGCUCGGGCAUACAUAUUACAUA
This is a long non-coding RNA of Populus trichocarpa (black cottonwood), 597 nucleotides long. RefSeq lists it as uncharacterized. The transcript has 2 exons. NCBI's taxonomy places the organism in Eukaryota, Viridiplantae, Streptophyta, Magnoliopsida, Malpighiales, Salicaceae. The record is from RefSeq and is a predicted model, not a curated record.